GGCCGCUUACCGGCCCGGUCUUCUACACCGGACACCGUAACUGGAGGGGAGAUGCGCGUUCGAAUCGCGCCGCGGCCGCCA
This 81-nucleotide transfer RNA is filed under the name Gellertiella hungarica. RNAcentral describes it as "tRNA-Tyr". The record is from RNAcentral. Lineage: Bacteria; Pseudomonadati; Pseudomonadota; Alphaproteobacteria; Hyphomicrobiales; Rhizobiaceae.